GUCAGCUGACUGCUGUGUCACAGAGCUGCUGCUUUCUACAUUAUCGCAACUGCCAGAGCUCUUAGUGCUGCAGUUUUCUAGUCGCAGUGCGGCAAAGCAGACGCAUAGACCCAGUAACAAAGCAGCAUAGAUUUUUUAUUCUCGUCUUUUUUUUUUUCUGUCCAAGAGACAUUUUCCCGGUGUUAGCGCAGGAGCAGACACGCAGCCUGGAUAUGCUGGCUCCAGCCUGGCAGUGCUUUCGGCUGAGCAGAGACUGUGCAGAGCUUGGUGCCCACGCUGCCGCUGAGGAAGAAAGCUGCUCUCCUACUUCGUGCCGUGACGAUACACCUGCAGCCACAGGACCAUGGAGAUGGUGGCACUGGUCUCUGUUUGCCUGACUGAGGCCUUUGCAUGUGCUCCUCUUCCGAAGCUGUGCUGGUGUUCCAGGGCCAUGCAUAUGGGUAAUACAAUUUACUGCAAUUUCUUACAUCAGUGUAGCAAACCUCAAGCAAGCAACCAGACUCUGACCUAAAUCAGUCCCAGUUCUUCGGGAUACAGGGCAGCAGGCAACUGGCAGCGAUACAAUCAGCCAUCAAGUGGAGAGGCUCUGGGACUGCAAUCUGCAUGGGUUGAAGUCUGUGAGAAUGAAACAGUUCCCGUUAUCUGGUUGCUUCUCCUUCUAAUAAUACAGUUGCUACAACUGCUACUACUACUGCGUCUGCUUCUCCUUGCCUGAAAGAAGCUACUUCUCGCGCUCUCUCAGCGUGGGUAUUUGCGUAGAUAAGUCUGUUGGUAACGCAGCCCUUAUCUGCUUCUGCUGGAAACCAGGGCACGAAGUCAGCCUGCCUUAACAGUUGUUUCUUUCUGCGUGAUGCUAUGCAGCUAGAACGGGUUACGCUGACAACAAAGGAGCCAGCACAAAGCAUCACUUUAUUUGCUGGACUGCUACAGGAACCUGACUCUUCUUCGCUACGAAGCCCUUUUCCCUUCCCAUUUAUUUUUUAUAUUUUAUUUUUUAUGUAAUUCAUCUAAUUGAAGAGCCUAUCAGACACCAUUGUGGAUGUGGGUUUUAAUGAUUUGGAAAAGACAGCCUGUGGAGACUGCGACUGGAGACUGCAACACGCUUAGGUUAUUGCCAAUUUGAAAUACUUGGUUUGUGAAGCACAGCCCUAAGGGACAAGCGCAGUAACUGAGAGAGAGAUCGUAGAUAAAGAAAUAAAAAUGACAAGCAUAAUGGAGGCUCUGCAAGAAACUGUCAGGGAAUCAGUUCAUGGAUGGCAAUUUCACCAGUCUGAAUCUGAAUAAUUCAUAGAUUGAAAUUACCCUGCUUUCACCUUUCCAUUUAAACUGGCAUGAUCUGAAUCUCUAAUAAAUUUUCAAGAUAAAGUAAAAUGCCAAUUUGAAUCUGAAGAGCUUUUAAAACCAGAUGCUGCACCCCGAGUCUUUCGAUACCUUUCACAAUUAUCCUGUGAGAGCCGCACUUCAUCAUGAAGCACCAUUACCAGUGAAAAUUACGGUGAUUACAAUAGCAACAAUAGAAUACCGUCAAAUGAUCUCCAAUUUACCUAAUUUACCAAGGUUGACUGUAUGCCCAUUGUGCUUCAGUACGUCUGGCAUUGGAUCAAUAUCACAGAGGAAGAAAAAUGCCUCAGUAUAUGCUUCCUUUUGGUGCCUUUAACUUUGACAGCACAGGAAAAUCUAUCUCCUGUUAAAUGUUUUUACAGCCCAUCUGCAUGCCUGCCACAGGAUCUGAUUGAUUCUCCAUCAUUUUCUUUGGUUGCUGAGUAUUGGAUGUUAUUGUGUUACUAAUUUGUUUAUAACGUGUACUACUGCACAAAGACUGCAGCAAAUGAGUAACAGCACAGCGACUGCUGCUGCAGCAGUAGCACUGCACUCUCUCACAGGGGAAGCCAAAAUGAGUUCAGUGCCUUAUGUGAAUAAUCACUUGUGUCCGUGUUAUAAAUGAUUGCAAGCGUCACUCAUCUUGGUUGCACGACAUGAGAAAUAUGUGCAAAAGUCAUGGUCAAGGGAGAUGGCUAUGUGUAAUUCUAACAAGAUUUUUCCCUUAUCCAGCAAUCAGUAUGAGGCUGUGAGAGAUAGGCUGCGACUCUUUCUUUAAAUGAGUGUGUGUACAUACGCAUGCACGUACAUAGGAGGUAAGGAUAGGAUGCAUUGUGAGUAUGUGCUGAUCACUGAAAGCAACAUUUCUCUGACAAGCCAGGCACAGUGUUUUGCCACAGUCUGCUCAAAUCCUGGUUUUGGAGUGUAUAUUUUCUAUAGGACAAUGCGUGACUUCUGGAACAGUAAGUACCAUUAAUGCAGCACGUUGGUGCCUAUAGCAAUGCCAUGGAAUGGUAUUUUAAGCAUAGUUUGACUACAGUGUGGAUAAGUAAGAAACAUGCACUGAAGGCUACAACAGGCAUUCCUCCUGGAGAAGACUGUGUCUGUUGUCUGUAUGUGUGUGAGUUAUACACAUCAAUCUUGUUUUUCCUUUUAUGACCAGAUUUACUCUGCCUCCAUGGAGUAUUUGCUAAGGAAGAGAACUCCUGUGGAGCUGGUAGCUGUGGACUAAUGGCUGGUAUAUGAAGCAGCUUGACAACAGCAACAUGUCUACACAAAUCUUAGAGGUGGGAAAGGACCCUUGGAAACGGUCAAGUCAUACUCCUCUACUCAAAGCAAGGUCCAUGAUGGUUGCUCAGCACCAUACCCAACUGAGAUUAGAAUAUCUCCAAAGACAUGGAAGCCACAGCCACUCUGUUUUCUUGCUCUUGGAUCCUGUCUAAAGUGCAUGAAUCUUAAGAGCAAUCAACAACAGGAAGUGAGCUCAGUCCUUCAGCAAAUCUACAGCUGCAGUACCGAAUAAACUAAAUGACAAAUAAAUGGUUUAAUGACCCUUAAUUUAUGAAAGUUGGGUUUACAUCACUAACUUGAUUUACCUUAACUUAUUUGGUGUAAUGCAAAAAUGACAGCUCUUCUAUGUAAGGUUUAUUCAUCCCAAAGAAAGUUCGUGGAGGCGAGUUAACUUCCAUCAGUUUAAUAGAGAGGUCCUUACGUUACUGGGGGGGCUGGCUGGUAAACUCUCCCCUUAAAAGACUUCAUUACUGGUGGUGGCCCGCUGAUAUAAUGUCUACACUGGGAUUACCUCCAACAGAUACUAGCAGGGCUGACCGACAAGUCAACACCACCUACCAGUAGCGUGGCCAUACAUGUAACAGCAGGAGCCAAUGAAGUAUCACAUUUUAGGAUAAGCAAAGUCAUUGACAGAAAGCAAGGAUACUUAAUUACUAAGGAACAGUUCUUCUCAAGUGAGUUUCUUCUAGCUGCAUCCAGAAGCUAAAGUGAGUUCACUUGCAUUCCCAAGUCAACUAGAGCCCUUUCUCAUGGGCUAGUUGGCUGUUCAGCCAUGAUCUGCAUUUUUCCACACAUUUGUCUAUUCUUAUUUAGAAUUGACUGGAAACAGGUUUCAUACUUCAGUUUUCCAACAGCAAGAUACAAAGAACAAGGAAGGACACAUCCUAUUGGUAAGCAUUUUAGCAAUUUGGCUGACAUUGGUCCGCUAGGAAAGGCUAUGUAAUCAGAAGUGUAAAACUGCAUUUGCAUCAGGUACAAUAGGCUUGUCAUUGUAUCUGCUCUUCAGAUUUCUUAAAAUGUGCUGUACUAAUGUUUGACUGUAAUGUAAGUUAAGACUGUCUCUGUUGCGACAAUGCAUAGGCUUGAAGAUUUUAUAUUUUCAGCUAAAUCUUUCAAAACUGAUACCCCUGAUCCAGAGGUAUUGGGAAAGUGAGGAAGAAGUGCCUUGGUUAAGAAAUGAGUCCCUAAUGCCCAUAGUGCUAGUUGGAAUGAGAGGGUGACAUGUUCACAAAUGAUCAAAUCAUAAAUAUUGGUUAGUUUAAAAAUACUCUGUAGUGUUAUUGUAAUUUUCCUAGUGUUUUUAUUUGAAAUACAGGCCACAAAUAGAUUUUCAUAUAUUUUAGAGGCUGAAACUAUCCCAAAUAUAUGAUAUAUGGGAGAUACUCUGAAGUGUUCCACCUAAAUCCUAUAGGCCAAGUUUCUGGUCUUAAUGGAGUACUUCUCUUUGUUCUUUGCAGCUUACCUUAGUAAUUUCUUCCAAUUUUAUUAAAAUCUUCUUAUGAACUGCAAAUCACCUGCAAUGAACAAAACUCUUUACCAGUCACAGUGAUAUUCACAAAACAGCAAAAACAGCACAGAACAGCAUACACAGAUUAUUCAAAUGCACUAAAAAGAUUGAAUUUCAUUGUUUUGCAUACAUUUUAAUAGAAAGUUUUAAAGUCUUCAGUUAGCAUCUGAUUUUCAUUUGAAUAAAUUUGCCUCAAAAACCUCAUGCUAUUACCUUGAGAUUUAAGACCACCCUCACCACUGAAAUUUUCAAAUUAUUCAGAAAAACUGAUUGGGUUUUGGUCUGUUUAGAGUUACAAAAGAAAAUGGGAAAGAAAAAAAGGUACUUGCAGAAAAUCUACAUGUAGUCACUUUAACACUGUAAUUCCAAAUUUGCAGCACAAGAUCUACAUGACAAAGCAGGCACACUGUGUUAAAUCUUUGUUUUAUUGUUUUCUUUGUUCCUUGUUUUCUUUGUCACAAAAUCCUUGUUCAUCAGUAGUCAUACACUUUCAUAUGUACUGGUAUUUGUAGACUUUUUAAAAAUAAGUGCUACUCCCCAGUUUUGUUGUUAAAUAAAUAUUUUCCCAUUCUCAAAUGAAUCAAUGAUGGAACUGGCUAGCUAGUUUAAGAAGUGAGCAGAUUUGGUAACAAAGGAAGUCACUGAAAUGGCCAUAGAGAUUUUCACUGUGGUCUUAAUGGAUUUUGAAAGUGACAUCUCUCCUGGAAGAACCCCUGUUGCAUGAUCCAGUUUCUUCUCAGUCAUCUAAAGUUACUCACUACAAAAUAAAGUACUGUAUCUGGUGAUUUAGCAGGAGAAUAAAACAGAAAACUCCAAUUUUUAUUCUGAAGAACAGAUGUGUGCUUGACAUUUUUGGAGCAGCAUUAUAGCACUGCUUCUUACGUAAGUCUUCCUCCUCCACAUAAUUUUCUCUUCUGGAGGAAAAUGAAGCAUUUGUUUUUUGUUUUAAAAAGAGACUCUUGAAAGAAUCAACAACAAACAAAAGCUAUUCUUACCAUUUGAAAGAUCUUGGUGGCAUGUCAUUUUUCCAGAAAAAAAAAAAGUUUGCAACAGUUCAGGAUUUCCAUGAGUAGUUUGUAUUUUGUGGGAGGAAAGGUGAUGGUAGGAAGUAACGGAGUGUAUCUACAGCUGAAUGCUUCAGCCUUCCUGGCUCUGAACUAUGUGUGCUAAGUGCUGCCCUAUGUGCAUUUUCAUACAAAGCAGUUUCUUGAAUUAAUGGAAUACAUCAGAGAGGGAUUUGAACUUCCGCUCAUCCUGCCACCACUGAUGUGCACCGCAAUUGCCAGACACAGACAACACAGUCUACUUGUCUCUAUUUUCUUCCUCCGUGAGUCAGGGAGAAUACAAUGAGUGAGAAGCUAGAAGUGGUCAGAUUGGUAAAUGAAUAAGCUAUUUAGUGUAAUGAAUAAAGCAUUAUUCAAAGUCUGCUUUUUAAAAUAUCCUUUCCCUCAGCUCAGUGAGCCUUGAAAAAGGCAUAUCAGGAACUAGACAUUACUAGACAUUACUUCCAAGCUGAAUUUACCCCUUCACAAGGGGUCACUGUUUACAGAAUAAGCAGAUCAAUACAUUGAAAAAGAAAAGGUGACAGUAUGAAUGACUCUGAGAAAAGCAGAGAAAUUCUGUGGUUCACAUGUUGCUCUGGUGUGCUUAUGGGUGAGCAUUCACAUGAGCAGAGAUGCCUUUAUUUUGCCCACUUAAAGUCUCCUUAUGUUUUCUUUCCAGCAAGUGGAGAAACUACCCCAGAUGUAUUCGCAGCAGAAGCCUGGGGACAGUGCAUAGCUCGCUGCCUGAUGGGAACCACCUUCUUCACAAGCUUCUGCAAAACAAGCACAUUGCUUGGCCAACUUAGGUCUUUCAUGUUGGGAGCUCCACACUAAAGAAAUUAGCUAGCAUUGUGAAAGGUAAGAUACCACCACUGUCUGAGAAAAACUGAAUGAUCCUGGAAAUACAAAUUGUUGGGUUUUUUUGUUGUUUUUUUUUUUAACACAUAUUCAUACAUGUAAAUAAAAUCCUGACCCAGGAAUUUUAUUCA
Coturnix japonica (Japanese quail) is the source of this 6149-nucleotide non-coding RNA. Lineage: Eukaryota; Metazoa; Chordata; Aves; Galliformes; Phasianidae. The record is from RefSeq and is a predicted model, not a curated record.